RNAcentral lists this transfer RNA (76 nucleotides) under Bacillota bacterium. Its description in RNAcentral is "tRNA-Thr". It matches the Rfam family "tRNA". Rfam says of the family: Transfer RNA (tRNA) molecules are approximately 80 nucleotides in length. Their secondary structure includes four short double-helical elements and three loops (D, anti-codon, and T loops). Lineage: Bacteria; Bacillati; Bacillota. RNAcentral also lists the same sequence under 1 other name. The record is from RNAcentral.
GCUGCCUUGGCUCAGUCGGUAGAGCACUUCCUUGGUAAGGAAGAGGUCGGCAGUUCAAGUCUGCUAGGCAGCUCCA